Molecule: long non-coding RNA, 210 nt
Filed under: Elaeis guineensis (African oil palm)
Lineage: Eukaryota; Viridiplantae; Streptophyta; Magnoliopsida; Arecales; Arecaceae
Description: long non-coding RNA (EGUI_LNC020127)
Source: RNAcentral
UCGCCCCCCACCUCGUUCUGCUCCAUCGCCGAGACCCCAACCCUAGGGGAAAAGGAUGGGAUAGGAUUCAGGGGACAGUAAAGGCAACGGCAGCGACGACGAUGACCUGCAUCAAGAAGAACCGGAGGUACCCCAGAGGCCACGAUGGUGCCGGAGGCAUGCGCCACCACCGUGUGCUCCACGACAACCACCGUCCUAUGUACUCCAGCA